UAGAGUCCAGAAAUAUUUAUUUAUUGAAAUCAUGUAUUAGAUCAAUGAAUUUAUGGUGAUUGUCUUAAUUUCCUGUAAAAAAUUAGUUUGAAUACAUCUUAAUAAACAUGUUCUAGGUACCAAUAUUUGUAGAUAUUAAUUAUAUAGUUAAUUGCAGAUAAAUUGAUAUGACACAUAAAUAUAUACACAUUAAAAACAAUAAGAAAUUAUGAAAGUAUAAUAAUAUCAUUGAAAACCAAUAUACCUGUGUAGAUAAAUAUUUUUUUGUAUAAAAGGUACAUUUAACCAGUGUUAUUCUCCAAAUAUAUAUAAUAUUUAUUUAUAUGAACAAAUAUAUAUAUAUAUAUAUAUAUAAAUAUUGAUAUCUAUAUUUUAUUUGAGAAUAUGAGUACAAUAUUCUUUAAAUAUGAUUACACGAAUUUAGGACAUUAAUACAAAUCAUUUUCACAAUAAUUUAACUAAUAUAUAUAUUUGAUUUUAAAAAGGCAUAAUUUUAGAAUUUUCAUAAUUAAUUGACGAUUAUAAAAUUUGAUAUUACUUUUUUUGUCAUAAAAAUUGUAUUACUUAAAAGCCGAAGUAAGUUCAUAUAUAAAAUAAAUUAA
Molecule: non-coding RNA, 602 nt
Organism: Cinara cedri
Lineage: Eukaryota; Metazoa; Arthropoda; Insecta; Hemiptera; Aphididae
Source: the annotation of a GenBank genome assembly